RNAcentral lists this ribosomal RNA (280 nucleotides) under uncultured eukaryote. RNAcentral's name for it is "partial small subunit ribosomal RNA". It matches the Rfam family "Bacterial small subunit ribosomal RNA", at positions 338 to 633 of the family's 1533-position model. The record is from RNAcentral.
CCUACGGGAGGCAGCAGUGAAGAAUUUUCCGCAAUGGGCUAACGCCUGACGGAGCAACGCCGCGUGGAGGAUGACGGCCUGUGGGUUGUAAACUCCUUUUAUCAGAGAAGAAGAUCUGACGGUAUCUGAUGAAUAAGCAUCGGCUAACUCUGUGCCAGCAGCCGCGGUAAUACAGGGGAUGCAAGCGUUAUCCGGAUUGAUUGGGCGUAAAGCGUCCUGAGGUGGCUUACCCAGUCGACUGUGAAAGCUCAGGGCUUAACCUUGAAACUGCAGUCGAAAC